GACAGAGGGUGCAAGCGUUAAUCGGAGUAACUGGGCGUAAAGGGCGCGUAGGCGGUUAAUUAAGUGAGAUGUGAAAUCCCUGGGCUUAACCUAGGAACUGCAUCUCAUACUGACUGACUAGAGUAUUGUAGAGGGUAGUGGAAUUUCCGGUGUAGCGGUGAAAUGCGUAGAGAUCGGAAGGAACACCAGUGGCGAAGGCGGCUACCUGGACAAAUACUGACGCUGAGGCGCGAGAGCGUGGGGAGCAAACAGG
RNAcentral lists this ribosomal RNA (253 nucleotides) under uncultured bacterium. RNAcentral describes it as "partial 16S ribosomal RNA". It matches the Rfam family "Bacterial small subunit ribosomal RNA", at positions 524 to 776 of the family's 1533-position model. The record is from RNAcentral.